This 343-nucleotide ribosomal RNA is filed under the name uncultured fungus. RNAcentral describes it as "eukaryotic LSU rRNA". The stretch from base 1 to 125 matches the Rfam family "5.8S ribosomal RNA", at positions 30 to 154 of the family's 154-position model. The record is from RNAcentral. Lineage: Eukaryota; Fungi.
GCAUCGAUGAAGAACGCAGCGAAAUGCGAUAAGUAAUGUGAAUUGCAGAAUUCCGUGAAUCAUCGAAUCUUUGAACGCACAUUGCGCCCCUCGGUAUUCCGUGGGGCAUGCCUGUUCGAGCGUCAUUUACACCCUCAAGCCUCGCUUGGUGUUGGGCGUCUGUCCCGCUCUCGUAGCGCGGACUCGCCUCAAAGUCAUUGGCGGCGGUCGUGCCGGCCCCUCGCGCAGCACAUUUGCGCUUCUCGGAGGCCUGGCGGAUCAGCAUCCAGCAAGCUAUUUCAUGACUUGACCUCGGAUCAGGUAGGGAUACCCGCUGAACUUAAGCAUAUCAAUAAGCGGAGGA